GCCUGGGUGGCUCAGUUGGUUAAGUGUCUGACUUUGACUCAGGUCAUGAUCUCACAGUUUGUGAGUUCGAGCUCUGCCUCAGGCU
RNAcentral lists this transfer RNA (85 nucleotides) under Felis catus (domestic cat). It matches the Rfam family "tRNA". From Rfam's summary of the family: Transfer RNA (tRNA) molecules are approximately 80 nucleotides in length. Their secondary structure includes four short double-helical elements and three loops (D, anti-codon, and T loops). Lineage: Eukaryota; Metazoa; Chordata; Mammalia; Carnivora; Felidae. RNAcentral also lists the same sequence under 2 other names. The record is from Rfam by way of RNAcentral.